Aegilops tauschii subsp. strangulata is the source of this 630-nucleotide non-coding RNA. NCBI's taxonomy places the organism in Eukaryota, Viridiplantae, Streptophyta, Magnoliopsida, Poales, Poaceae. The record is from RefSeq and is a predicted model, not a curated record.
CAGCCGAUUCGUUCGCGCUUGGGAGUUGCCGCAGCCGCUCCCCUCAGAUAAUAACGCAAUGCCAUCCUCCUGUCCUGUCGGGAUGCUUAACUGGUGCAAGGGCAUCAAGGCUAAAAAAGAUAAAGCACGAGCACCCCACAAGCCAUCGCCAGGGUAUUACCACUUGGUGGGACAUACCAGGCAGACAUUCAUAGGAUGAAUUAGUGGGGGAGUAUGAAGCAGGCCUAGCAGUUUUCUUGGUGAGCUAAAUUUGAGAAUCUCUAUGAUCUUGAUUGCUGAUUCAAACUCCAGGCAACCGUAGAAGUAAUGUUCUUCUGUCAAAAUUUCAUUUCAUCCUGGUUCUUCAGUGCUCAAUUCAAGUUAUGCUCAGUCCGGGUUACCUGCAUGUUUUGGCAUUUUGGCGCAAAGUAGCUUAAUCUGUCUCCUCUCUUGGUCUCUCGGAAUUGGAUGGUGAAAUGCUACUGGAACAAUAUCGGUUGCUGCAUUCUUAAUAUCCCUUGAGUUUGGUUGGUCAUGUUUCAGUGACAACUGUUGAACUGCAAGUCUAUGCUGCAGUGACUUGUUGCAACUCUAAUUCCCUGCACUCCUUAGUGUUACAUGCUUAUAUAUCUCGUUGUUGCUGCGUGCUGA